UCCUCUCUUCCAGCUCUCAGAGAUGGAGUCAGACUUACUGUUCCUAUGGGUGUUGCUGCUCUGGGUUCCUGGCUCCAUUGGUGACAUUGUGCUGUCCCAGUCUCCAGCUUCUUUGGCUGCGUCUCUAGGGCAGACGGUCACCAUCUCCUGCAAGGCCAGCGAAAGUGUCUAUAGUAAUAUGCACUGGUACCAACAGAAACCAGGACAGCCACCCAAACUCCUCAUUUAUGAUGCAUCCUACCUAGCAUCUGGGGUUCCUGCCAGGUUCAGUGGCAGUGGGUCUGGGACAGACUAUACCCUCAAUAUCAAUCCUAUGGAGGCUGAUGAUGAUGCAGACUAUUACUGUCAGCAAGGUUAUAAGCUUCCUCCCACAAUGCUCCAGGCCUCAACGAAAACCUCCUGUGACUCCAUCCUGCCGGUGUCCCGAGACCCCAGAUGGUGGCCAAUCUCGGCACAUGGACCUGUCACCAUGCACCCCCACAGUCUCCAUCUUGCUACGUGCCCACCCCCAGUGGUGGCUGGGGCCAAGAUUGGAGGUUCUCACCAAAGAGUCCUGCACCCACCCCUGCUAUAA
This is a non-coding RNA of Arvicanthis niloticus (Nile rat), 574 nucleotides long. Lineage: Eukaryota; Metazoa; Chordata; Mammalia; Rodentia; Muridae. The record is from the annotation of a RefSeq genome assembly.